GAUGAAGAACGUAGCAAAAUGCGAUACUUGGUGUGAAUUGCAGAAUCCCGUGAACCAUCGAGUUUUUGAACGCAAGUUGCGCCCGAAGCCUUUUGGCCGAGGGCACGUCUGCCUGGGCGUCACGCAUCGCGUCGCCCCCCACAAUUCUCCGUAAAGGGAACGUGUGUUUUGGGGGCGGAUAUUGGUCUCCCGUGCUCAUGGCGUGGUUGGCCGAAAUAGGAGUCCUUUCGAUGGACGCACGAACUAGUGGUGGUCGUAAAAACCCUCGUCUUUUGUUUCGUGCUGUUGCUCGCAAGGUAACCUCUUUAAAAACCCCAAUGUGUCGUCUCUUGACGACGCUUCGACCGCGACCCCAGGUCAGGCGGGACUACCCGCUGAGUUUAAGCAUAUCAAUAAGCGGAGGA
RNAcentral lists this unclassified non-coding RNA (404 nucleotides) under soil metagenome. Its description in RNAcentral is "partial contains 5.8S ribosomal RNA, internal transcribed spacer 2, and large subunit ribosomal RNA". The stretch from base 1 to 122 matches the Rfam family "5.8S ribosomal RNA", at positions 35 to 154 of the family's 154-position model. The record is from RNAcentral.